This 75-nucleotide transfer RNA is filed under the name Verrucomicrobiota bacterium. RNAcentral's name for it is "Verrucomicrobia bacterium tRNA-Asn". It matches the Rfam family "tRNA". From Rfam's summary of the family: Transfer RNA (tRNA) molecules are approximately 80 nucleotides in length. Their secondary structure includes four short double-helical elements and three loops (D, anti-codon, and T loops). RNAcentral also lists the same sequence under 1 other name. The record is from RNAcentral. Lineage: Bacteria; Pseudomonadati; Verrucomicrobiota.
UGCCAGGUAGUGUCAAAGUAGCACGGCGGCCUGUUAAGCCGUUCGGUGUUGGUGCGAGUCCAACUCUGGCAGCCA